RNAcentral lists this unclassified non-coding RNA (287 nucleotides) under Ascobolus sp. Its description in RNAcentral is "partial contains 5.8S ribosomal RNA, internal transcribed spacer 2, and large subunit ribosomal RNA". The stretch from base 1 to 71 matches the Rfam family "5.8S ribosomal RNA", at positions 84 to 154 of the family's 154-position model. The record is from RNAcentral. Lineage: Eukaryota; Fungi; Ascomycota; Pezizomycetes; Pezizales; Ascobolaceae.
GUGAGUCAUCGAAUCUUUGAACGCACAUUGCGCCCUUUGGUAUUCCGAAGGGCAUGCCUGUCUGAGCGUCAAUAAAUCAAUCAAACUUAUGUUUGGUAUUGGGAGAAGUGGCAUUGCCUCUCUCCUGUAAGCUAUUGGCGGCGCUGCUUCAGCUUGUAAGACGUAGUAAGUAAUUCCUCGUCAAAGCGACUGUGUAGCUGCCUGCCAACUAAACGAUUUAUUUAACAGCUUGACCUCAGAUCAGGUAGGGAUACCCCCUGAACUUAAGCAUAUCAAUAAGCGGAGGA